UACGUAGGGUGCGAGCGUUAAUCGGAAUUACUGGGCGUAAAGCGUGCGCAGGCGGCUAUGCAAGACAGAUGUGAAAUCCCCGGGCUCAACCUGGGAACUGCAUUUGUGACUGCAUAGCUAGAGUACGGUAGAGGGGGAUGGAAUUCCGCGUGUAGCAGUGAAAUGCGUAGAUAUGCGGAGGAACACCGAUGGCGAAGGCAAUCCCCUGGACCUGUACUGACGCUCAUGCA
RNAcentral lists this ribosomal RNA (230 nucleotides) under uncultured bacterium. RNAcentral's name for it is "partial 16S ribosomal RNA". It matches the Rfam family "Bacterial small subunit ribosomal RNA", at positions 524 to 753 of the family's 1533-position model. The record is from RNAcentral.